CCUACGGGCGGCUGCAGUGGGGAAUAUUGGACAAUGGGGGGAACCCUGAUCCAGCCAUGCCGCGUGUGUGAAGAAGGCCCUCGGGUUGUAAAGCACUUUCAGUGAGGAAGAACGCCUGGUGGUUAAUACCCAUCAGGAAAGACAUCACUCACAGAAGAAGCACCGGCUAACUCCGUGCCAGCAGCCGCGGUAAUACGGAGGGUGCGAGCGUUAAUCGGAAUUACUGGGCGUAAAGCGCGCGUAGGUGGCUUGAUAAGCCGGUUGUGAAAGCCCCGGGCUCAACCUGGGAACGGCAUCCGGAACUGGCAAGCUAGAGUGCAGGAGAGGAAGGUAGAAUUCCCGGUGUAGCGGUGAAAUGCGUAGAGAUCGGGAGGAAUACCAGUGGCGAAGGCGGCCUUCUGGACUGACACUGACACUGAGGUGCGAAAGCGUGGGUAGCAAACAGGAUUAGAUACCCCGGUAGUC
Molecule: ribosomal RNA, 465 nt
Filed under: Vreelandella stevensii
Lineage: Bacteria; Pseudomonadati; Pseudomonadota; Gammaproteobacteria; Oceanospirillales; Halomonadaceae
Description: partial 16S ribosomal RNA
Rfam family: Bacterial small subunit ribosomal RNA
Source: RNAcentral